RNAcentral lists this long non-coding RNA (283 nucleotides) under Oreochromis niloticus (Nile tilapia). RNAcentral describes it as "lncRNA (ENSONIG00000036541.1)". Lineage: Eukaryota; Metazoa; Chordata; Actinopteri; Cichliformes; Cichlidae. The record is from RNAcentral.
AUUUCGCAUAUCUUUUAACAGUUUCUGAAAAUGAUUGAGCACUUUGACUCGGCCACAGGGAACGUAUCAGUGGCCGAACAUCUCCCCGUGAGGAAACUCGAUGAAGACGAAGCGCUUUGCCCGUUUAAGGCAAUCAAGGGGCUCAGCUAUAUAAGCAUCCCAUCUCAGAGCUGGUUGAUGGCUUCUGCCAACAGAAGGUAGGGAUCGCUUUUCCUGCGAUUAGUUUCAUUUACGCAGUUUUUCUUUGCGUGGUAAAUUGUUGCUGGUGAAUGGGGGCGGAAAG